UGAAAAGCAGCUGGAAAAUACAGUCAGACGUACAGUAAGGUGCAGAAGCUCGGGCCACGCCGGCGCGCGGAGGUGGGGUUACCCAGCAGAGGCGCGGGGAGCGCGCAGGGCCAGAAGCUUCAGGCCAGCCACACAAGGACGCGCUGCGGCACCCAACGGAUUCGUCUCGCCCGGGCCGCUGCCACCCCCGGGCAGCCUCUGUCACCCAGGUCACUGGACAACUAUCUGCAUCACAAAUGCGCUUAGGAAGAGAAGACUGAAAGGGACUGUCGAGAUCCUGGUGGACCACCAAUUCCAGCUCUCCCCAUCACAGUCAACCCUGCAUUAAAAAUUUUGUCCAGGAUAGCCUGCAGUAUAUGCUUUGUGUGUACCGGAUCUACCAAACUCUGUGACAGAAUGAAAACUCCCUAGAAACAAAAACCUCAUCGGGUAUCACUUGGGGAAGAUGUAAAAAGUCUUGAAACUGUAAACUUUCCUUCAAAAGAAAUUACCUUCCUGAGCAACUGAGUAGCACUCACCUUUAUUUCCUUUACAGAAUAUUUCUACUGUAAGGAUAAAUGGGCAUGCACACAAAUGACAGACAGUUUAACCACUGUGAUUUAACUAUGUGUUGUUACACUGUGUUAGCUCUCACCCUCAUUAAAGUAUCUCUCACAGAUAAGUAUCUGUGAGAGAAAACUGGUA
Tyto alba (common barn owl) is the source of this 684-nucleotide long non-coding RNA. RefSeq lists it as uncharacterized. The record is from RefSeq and is a predicted model, not a curated record. NCBI's taxonomy places the organism in Eukaryota, Metazoa, Chordata, Aves, Strigiformes, Tytonidae. The transcript has 2 exons.